Molecule: transfer RNA, 88 nt
Filed under: Bacillaria paxillifer
Lineage: Eukaryota; Bacillariophyta; Bacillariophyceae; Bacillariales; Bacillariaceae
Description: tRNA-Ser
Rfam family: tRNA
About the family: Transfer RNA (tRNA) molecules are approximately 80 nucleotides in length. Their secondary structure includes four short double-helical elements and three loops (D, anti-codon, and T loops).
Source: RNAcentral
GGCGAGAUGACAGAGUUGGUCGAUUGUGUCUGAUUUGAAAUCAGAUGAACUUUUGCAGGUUCCGUGGGUUCGAAUCCCACUCUCGCCU